AUACAGAGGGUGCGAGCGUUAAUCGGAAUUACUGGGCGUAAAGGGUACGUAGGCGGCUCCUUAAGUCCGAUGUGAAAUCCCCGUGCUUAACAUGGGAAUUGCACCGGAUACUGGGUAGCUAGAGUAUAGUAGAGGAGAGUGGAAUUUCUAGUGUAGCGGUGAAAUGCGUAGAUAUUAGAAGGAACACCAGUGGCGAAGGCGACUCUCUGGACUAAUACUGACGCUGAGGUACGAAAGCGUGGGGAGCAAACAGGAUUAGAAACCCUAGUAGUCC
Molecule: ribosomal RNA, 274 nt
Filed under: uncultured bacterium
Lineage: Bacteria
Description: partial 16S ribosomal RNA
Rfam family: Bacterial small subunit ribosomal RNA
Source: RNAcentral